CGUUACCGUAAAAGUAGAGUGUUCACAGCAGGCAGACUUUAAUCUCGGCCACCGAAUACAUUAGCAUGGGAUAAUGGAAUAGGACCCUGUCCUCCUAUUUUCAGUUGGUUUUCGAGGACCAGGGUAAUGAUUAAUAGGGAUAGUUGGGGGCAUUAAUAUUUAAUUGUCAGAGGUGAAAUUCUUGGAUUUAUGAAAGAUUAACUUCUGCGAAAGCAUCUGCCAAGGGAUGUUUUCAUUAAUCAAGAACGAAAGUUAGGGGAUCGAAGACGAUCAGAUACCGUCGUAGUCUUAACCAUAAACGAUGCCGACCAGCGAUUAGGAGACGUUGAAUACAAAACACCACCAUCAGGCGGGUCGUUCCUGGCCAGCUUCGCGCAAGCGGGGUUGGUGGGGGCGAUUCGUUUCCCUGAUGGCCCGGUGAA
Molecule: ribosomal RNA, 422 nt
Filed under: Acanthamoeba sp. RAC118
Lineage: Eukaryota; Discosea; Longamoebia; Acanthamoebidae
Description: SSU rRNA
Rfam family: Eukaryotic small subunit ribosomal RNA
Source: RNAcentral